Mycena latifolia is the source of this 89-nucleotide non-coding RNA. The record is from the annotation of a GenBank genome assembly. NCBI's taxonomy places the organism in Eukaryota, Fungi, Basidiomycota, Agaricomycetes, Agaricales, Mycenaceae.
UGCUCGGUGGCGUAGUGGCAACGCAUUCCGAAUUCCUACAUAGGUGUUUUGUUUUUCGGGGGUACGGAGUUCGAUUCUCUGCCGAGCCA